This 713-nucleotide ribosomal RNA is filed under the name uncultured bacterium. RNAcentral's name for it is "bacterial SSU rRNA". It matches the Rfam family "Bacterial small subunit ribosomal RNA", at positions 78 to 804 of the family's 1533-position model. The record is from RNAcentral.
GCUUUACGAGUACACGAGUGGCGAACGGGUGAGUAACACGUGAGCAACCUACCCUUGACCCUGGGAUAACAGUUGGAAACAGCUGCUAAUACCGGAUACUACCUCGAUCGGCAUCGAUUGGGGUGGAAAGUUCCGGCGGUCAUGGAUGGGCUCGCGGCCUAUCAGCUUGUUGGUGAGGUAAUGGCUCACCAAGGCUUCGACGGGUAGCCGGCCUGAGAGGGCGACCGGCCACACUGGGACUGAGAUACGGCCCAGACUCCUACGGGAGGCAGCAGUGGGGAAUAUUGCGCAAUGGGCGAAAGCCUGACGCAGCAACGCCGCGUGCGGGAUGACGGCCUUCGGGUUGUAAACCGCUUUCAGCAGGGACGAAGCAACACGUGACGGUACCUGCAGAAGAAGCACCGGCCAACUACGUGCCAGCAGCCGCGGUGAUACGUAGGGUGCGAGCGUUGUCCGGAAUUAUUGGGCGUAAAGAGCUUGUAGGCGGUCCGUCGCGUCGAAAGUGAAAACUCAGGGCUCAACCCUGAGCCUGCUUUCGAUACGGGCAGACUAGAGGAAUGUAGGGGAGAACGGAAUUCUUGGUGGAGCGGUGGAAUGCGCAGAUAUCAGGAGGAACACCGGUGGCGAAGGCGGUUCUCUGGACAUUUCCUGACGCUGAGAAGCGAAAGCGUGGGUAGCAAACAGGCUUAGAUACCCUGGUAGUCCACGCCGUA